This 2902-nucleotide ribosomal RNA is filed under the name Escherichia coli. RNAcentral describes it as "bacterial LSU rRNA". It matches the Rfam family "Bacterial large subunit ribosomal RNA". The record is from RNAcentral. Lineage: Bacteria; Pseudomonadati; Pseudomonadota; Gammaproteobacteria; Enterobacterales; Enterobacteriaceae.
UUAAGCGACUAAGCGUACACGGUGGAUGCCCUGGCAGUCAGAGGCGAUGAAGGACGUGCUAAUCUGCGAUAAGCGUCGGUAAGGUGAUAUGAACCGUUAUAACCGGCGAUUUCCGAAUGGGGAAACCCAGUGUGUUUCGACACACUAUCAUUAACUGAAUCCAUAGGUUAAUGAGGCGAACCGGGGGAACUGAAACAUCUAAGUACCCCGAGGAAAAGAAAUCAACCGAGAUUCCCCCAGUAGCGGCGAGCGAACGGGGAGCAGCCCAGAGCCUGAAUCAGUGUGUGUGUUAGUGGAAGCGUCUGGAAAGGCGCGCGAUACAGGGUGACAGCCCCGUACACAAAAAUGCACAUAUUGUGAGCUCGAUGAGUAGGGCGGGACACGUGGUAUCCUGUCUGAAUAUGGGGGGACCAUCCUCCAAGGCUAAAUACUCCUGACUGACCGAUAGUGAACCAGUACCGUGAGGGAAAGGCGAAAAGAACCCCGGCGAGGGGAGUGAAAAAGAACCUGAAACCGUGUACGUACAAGCAGUGGGAGCACGCUUCGGCGUGUGACUGCGUACCUUUUGUAUAAUGGGUCAGCGACUUAUAUUCUGUAGCAAGGUUAACCGAAUAGGGGAGCCGAAGGGAAACCGAGUCUUAACUGGGCGUUAAGUUGCAGGGUAUAGACCCGAAACCCGGUGAUCUAGCCAUGGGCAGGUUGAAGGUUGGGUAACACUAACUGGAGGACCGAACCGACUAAUGUUGAAAAAUUAGCGGAUGACUUGUGGCUGGGGGUGAAAGGCCAAUCAAACCGGGAGAUAGCUGGUUCUCCCCGAAAGCUAUUUAGGUAGCGCCUCGUGAAUUCAUCUCCGGGGGUAGAGCACUGUUUCGGCAAGGGGGUCAUCCCGACUUACCAACCCGAUGCAAACUGCGAAUACCGGAGAAUGUUAUCACGGGAGACACACGGCGGGUGCUAACGUCCGUCGUGAAGAGGGAAACAACCCAGACCGCCAGCUAAGGUCCCAAAGUCAUGGUUAAGUGGGAAACGAUGUGGGAAGGCCCAGACAGCCAGGAUGUUGGCUUAGAAGCAGCCAUCAUUUAAAGAAAGCGUAAUAGCUCACUGGUCGAGUCGGCCUGCGCGGAAGAUGUAACGGGGCUAAACCAUGCACCGAAGCUGCGGCAGCGACGCUGAUGCGUUGUUGGGUAGGGGAGCGUUCUGUAAGCCUGCGAAGGUGUGCUGUGAGGCAUGCUGGAGGUAUCAGAAGUGCGAAUGCUGACAUAAGUAACGAUAAAGCGGGUGAAAAGCCCGCUCGCCGGAAGACCAAGGGUUCCUGUCCAACGUUAAUCGGGGCAGGGUGAGUCGACCCCUAAGGCGAGGCCGAAAGGCGUAGUCGAUGGGAAACAGGUUAAUAUUCCUGUACUUGGUGUUACUGCGAAGGGGGGACGGAGAAGGCUAUGUUGGCCGGGCGACGGUUGUCCCGGUUUAAGCGUGUAGGCUGGUUUUCCAGGCAAAUCCGGAAAAUCAAGGCUGAGGCGUGAUGACGAGGCACUACGGUGCUGAAGCAACAAAUGCCCUGCUUCCAGGAAAAGCCUCUAAGCAUCAGGUAACAUCAAAUCGUACCCCAAACCGACACAGGUGGUCAGGUAGAGAAUACCAAGGCGCUUGAGAGAACUCGGGUGAAGGAACUAGGCAAAAUGGUGCCGUAACUUCGGGAGAAGGCACGCUGAUAUGUAGGUGAAGUCCCUCGCGGAUGGAGCUGAAAUCAGUCGAAGAUACCAGCUGGCUGCAACUGUUUAUUAAAAACACAGCACUGUGCAAACACGAAAGUGGACGUAUACGGUGUGACGCCUGCCCGGUGCCGGAAGGUUAAUUGAUGGGGUCAGCGCAAGCGAAGCUCUUGAUCGAAGCCCCGGUAAACGGCGGCCGUAACUAUAACGGUCCUAAGGUAGCGAAAUUCCUUGUCGGGUAAGUUCCGACCUGCACGAAUGGCGUAAUGAUGGCCAGGCUGUCUCCACCCGAGACUCAGUGAAAUUGAACUCGCUGUGAAGAUGCAGUGUACCCGCGGCAAGACGGAAAGACCCCGUGAACCUUUACUAUAGCUUGACACUGAACAUUGAGCCUUGAUGUGUAGGAUAGGUGGGAGGCUUUGAAGUGUGGACGCCAGUCUGCAUGGAGCCGACCUUGAAAUACCACCCUUUAAUGUUUGAUGUUCUAACGUUGACCCGUAAUCCGGGUUGCGGACAGUGUCUGGUGGGUAGUUUGACUGGGGCGGUCUCCUCCUAAAGAGUAACGGAGGAGCACGAAGGUUGGCUAAUCCUGGUCGGACAUCAGGAGGUUAGUGCAAUGGCAUAAGCCAGCUUGACUGCGAGCGUGACGGCGCGAGCAGGUGCGAAAGCAGGUCAUAGUGAUCCGGUGGUUCUGAAUGGAAGGGCCAUCGCUCAACGGAUAAAAGGUACUCCGGGGAUAACAGGCUGAUACCGCCCAAGAGUUCAUAUCGACGGCGGUGUUUGGCACCUCGAUGUCGGCUCAUCACAUCCUGGGGCUGAAGUAGGUCCCAAGGGUAUGGCUGUUCGCCAUUUAAAGUGGUACGCGAGCUGGGUUUAGAACGUCGUGAGACAGUUCGGUCCCUAUCUGCCGUGGGCGCUGGAGAACUGAGGGGGGCUGCUCCUAGUACGAGAGGACCGGAGUGGACGCAUCACUGGUGUUCGGGUUGUCAUGCCAAUGGCACUGCCCGGUAGCUAAAUGCGGAAGAGAUAAGUGCUGAAAGCAUCUAAGCACGAAACUUGCCCCGAGAUGAGUUCUCCCUGACCCUUUAAGGGUCCUGAAGGAACGUUGAAGACGACGACGUUGAUAGGCCGGGUGUGUAAGCGCAGCGAUGCGUUGAGCUAACCGGUACUAAUGAACCGUGAGGCUUAACCUU